Molecule: ribosomal RNA, 156 nt
Filed under: Bacillus pseudomycoides
Lineage: Bacteria; Bacillati; Bacillota; Bacilli; Caryophanales; Bacillaceae
Description: partial 16S ribosomal RNA
Rfam family: Bacterial small subunit ribosomal RNA
Source: RNAcentral
CUGGCACCUUGACGGUACCUAACCAGAAAGCCACGGCUAACUACGUGCCAGCAGCCGCGGUAAUACGUAGGUGGCAAGCGUUAUCCGGAAUUAUUGGGCGUAAAGCGCGCGCAAGGGUGGUUUUUUAAGUCUGAUGUGAAAGCCCACGGCUCAAAC